UUCUAUGGCCAUACCACCCUGAAAUGUGCCUGAUCUCAUCUGAUCUCAGAAGCUAAGCAGGCUUGGGCCUAGUUAGUAUUUGAAUGGGAUAAAAU
This 95-nucleotide ribosomal RNA is filed under the name Saimiri boliviensis boliviensis (Bolivian squirrel monkey). Lineage: Eukaryota; Metazoa; Chordata; Mammalia; Primates; Cebidae. The record is from RNAcentral.